Molecule: RNase P RNA, 279 nt
Filed under: Mycoplasmopsis felis
Lineage: Bacteria; Bacillati; Mycoplasmatota; Mycoplasmoidales; Metamycoplasmataceae
Description: RNase P RNA component class B
Rfam family: Bacterial RNase P class B
About the family: Ribonuclease P (RNase P) is a ubiquitous endoribonuclease, found in archaea, bacteria and eukarya as well as chloroplasts and mitochondria. Its best characterised activity is the generation of mature 5'-ends of tRNAs by cleaving the 5'-leader elements of precursor-tRNAs.
Source: RNAcentral
UAUAUCAGCUGAUAGCUAUGUUAUUAAUUUAAUGUAGAGGAAAGUCCGUGCUAAGACCAACUGAGAUGUUGGUAGUGUUUGUGUUAAACCUAAUAAGUUUAAGCUUAGACGACUAGCGCCACAGAGACGAGUAAAGUGAAACGCGGUAAACUCCACAAGCUAGAAACCCAAAUUUGGUAGGGGAACCAAAACGCGAGAAAUGAAUUAAGUUUUGGAACAUUUUCAAUGUUAGAUAAAUUAUCAGCACCUAUUUUAGGAACAGAACACGAGCUUUAUGAU